Molecule: long non-coding RNA, 1278 nt
Filed under: Sus scrofa (pig)
Lineage: Eukaryota; Metazoa; Chordata; Mammalia; Artiodactyla; Suidae
Description: lncRNA (ENSSSCG00025044202.1)
Source: RNAcentral
AACGGAGCGGAAAAGCAGGAGGAGAGGCGUGGUGCCCGCUGUCUAGAAGCGGAUGCGAGGCCCCCUGAGCCCGCAGUUGACGGCGGUGCCCUCGUUCCCGCCCUGCUCGCCGCCUCUCCCGGCGCCGCUCUUCCCACGGCCGGUGGCCGAGGCCGCGCCGAUGAACCCGGCUCAGGACUUGCAUCUUCUAGGUCCCAUGUUGUCCAGCUAGAGCUGAGAGGGAGUGGACAUGGCUCCAGGCACAGCACGAGAGCCUCAGAGUGGGCCUGGCCCUGGUGAUUCACAUCUGGGGGAGGAUGUGAUGUCACAGCUGGGUUCACAUCAUACCAGGAACAUGUCCUGUGCCCAGCACUGUUUGGGUGUGUUGCACCCCAACCUUGAGUCUUUUGCCUGGCUGCUGACAUGGAGCUGAGGACCAAUAGACACCUUCUGGGCAGAAUAUUUCUGUAGAAGUGCCCCAGAUACAUCCUUCAACGGCAGACUUGUCCACCCAGACGACCUGUCCCUGGGAGAGGUGUAGGCUGGAAGAGCUGCACAGUCCCUGCUUCCACAUUGUCGUCACAUUGCGGGAAGCUGGGGAGGAUUUCCCUGGUAGCUCUGGCUUCCCCCUCCCAGCAGCCCUGGGAUCUAUUUGCUUUCCUUUAACAAAGACUUCGCCUGCUUGCUGCCUGUGUGUUCCUGGAGUUCAUUUCUUUGACUGCCCUGAUCAGGAACCCGGAUUCCCAUAUCAUCUUUCUGGUGGUAUCUUUUGGGGACUAGUCUGGGAUCCAAUCCAAUACAUCUGCACUCAUAAGAACGUCUGAGUCCCUGCCAGAUCUCCAGCAACAGAUUCAUGGGAUGUCUGAUCCAGCUCGCCCUCUGGAACUAGUUGACCUCUUCCUCCUGGUGGAAAUAUUUCAUCACCAUAGCCAUCAUCAUGAUCUUUAAUCCUUUUAUUUGGACCCUAUAUAAUUAAUUGUAUUUCUCACUUCAUUACAUCCCAGUUAAAAACUAUGGACCUGGAGUUCCCGUCGUGGCUCAGGGGUUAACGAAUCCGACUAGGAACCAUGAGGUUGCAGGUUCAACCCCUGGCCUUGCCCAGUGGGUUAAGGAUCUGCCAUUGCUGUGAGCUGUGGUGUAGGCCACAGACAUGGCUCAGAUCCCACGUUGCUGUGGCUCUGGUAUAGGCUGGUGGCUAUAGCUCUGAUUUGACGCCCUAGCCUGGGAACCUCCAUAUGCCGUGGGAGCAGCCCUAGAAAAGGAAAAAAGACACCCCCCCCCCAAAAAAAAAAAAAAAAA